RNAcentral lists this ribosomal RNA (545 nucleotides) under uncultured bacterium. RNAcentral describes it as "bacterial SSU rRNA". It matches the Rfam family "Bacterial small subunit ribosomal RNA", at positions 9 to 546 of the family's 1533-position model. The record is from RNAcentral.
AGAGUUUGAUCAUGGCUCAGGACGAACGCUGGCGGCGCGCCUAACACAUGCAAGUCGAACGGAGCUACUUUGACAGAUUCCUUCGGGAUGACGUUGAUUUAGCUUAGUGGCGAACGGGUGAGUAACACGUGAGCAACCUACCUUUCAGAGGGGGACAACAGUUGGAAACGACUGCUAAUACCGCAUAAGACCACGCUAUGGCAUCGUAGAGGGGUCAAAGGAGAAAUCCGCUGAAAGAUGGGCUCGCGUCCAAUUAGCUAGAUGGUGAGGUAACGGCUCACCAUGGCGACGAUUGGUAGCCGGACUGAGAGGUUGAACGGCCACAUUGGGACUGAGACACGGCCCAGACUCCUACGGGAGGCAGCAGUGGGGAAUAUUGCACAAUGGGGGAAACCCUGAUGCAGCGACGCCGCGUGAGCGAAGAAGGCCUUCGGGUUGUAAACUUCUGCUGUCAGGGACGAUAAUGACGGUACCUGACGAGAAAGCCACGGCUAACUACGUGCCAGCAGCCGCGGUAAUACGUAGGUGGCAAGCGUUAUCCGCGG